RNAcentral lists this ribosomal RNA (1153 nucleotides) under uncultured Thermococcus sp. RNAcentral's name for it is "bacterial SSU rRNA". It matches the Rfam family "Archaeal small subunit ribosomal RNA", at positions 37 to 1193 of the family's 1478-position model. The record is from RNAcentral. Lineage: Archaea; Methanobacteriati; Methanobacteriota; Thermococci; Thermococcales; Thermococcaceae.
GGNGCUCUCCCNUAUGGUCGACCAAUUCACUAGUGAUAGAGUUUGAUCCUGGCUCAGUAACACGUCGGUAACCUACCCUCGGGAGGGGGAUAACCCCGGGAAACUGGGGCUAAUCCCCCAUAGGCCUGAGGUACUGGAAGGUCCUCAGGCCGAAAGGGGCCCGCCCGAGGAUGGGCCGGCGGCCGAUUAGGUAGUUGGUGGGGUAACGGCCCACCAAGCCGAAGAUCGGUACGGGCCAUGAGAGUGGGAGCCCGGAGAUGGACACUGAGACACGGGUCCAGGCCCUACGGGGCGCAGCAGGCGCGAAACCUCCGCAAUGCGGGCAACCGCGACGGGGGGACCCCCAGUGCCGUGGCAUCGCCACGGCUUUUCCGGAGUGUAAAAAGCUCCGGGAAUAAGGGCUGGGCAAGGCCGGUGGCAGCCGCCGCGGUAAUACCGGCGGCCCGAGUGGUGGCCGCUAUUAUUGGGCCUAAAGCGUCCGUAGCCGGGCCCGUAAGUCCCUGGCGAAAUCCCACGGCUCAACCGUGGGGCUUGCUGGGGAUACUGCGGGCCUUGGGACCGGGAGAGGCGGGGGGUACCCCUGGGGUAGGGGUGAAAUCCUAUAAUCCCAGGGGGACCGCCAGUGGCGAAGGCGCCCCGCUGGAACGGGUCCGACGGUGAGGGACGAAGGCCAGGGGAGCGAACCGGAUUAGAUACCCGGGUAGUNCUGGCUGUAAAGGAUGCGGGCUAGGUGUCGGGCGAGUUUNGAGCUCGCCCGGUGCCGAAGGGAAGCCGUUAAGCCCGCCGCCUGGGGAGUACGGCCGCAAGGCUGAAACUUAAAGGAAUUGGCGGGGGAGCACUACAAGGGGUGGAGCGUGCGGUUUAAUUGGAUUCAACGCCGGGAACCUCACCGGGGGCGACGGCAGGAUGAAGGCCAGGCUGAAGGUCUUGCCGGACACGCCGAGAGGAGGUGCAUGGCCGCCGUCAGCUCGUACCGUGAGGCGUCCACUUAAGUGUGGUAACGAGCGAGACCCGCGCCCCCAGUUGCCAGUCCUCCCCGCUGGGGAGGAGGCACUCUGGGGGGACCGCCGGCGAUAAGCCGGAGGAAGGAGCGGGCGACGGUAGGUCAGUAUGCCCCGAAACCCCCGGGCUACACGCGCGCUACAAUGGAAUC